RNAcentral lists this ribosomal RNA (253 nucleotides) under uncultured bacterium. RNAcentral's name for it is "partial 16S ribosomal RNA". It matches the Rfam family "Bacterial small subunit ribosomal RNA", at positions 524 to 776 of the family's 1533-position model. The record is from RNAcentral.
UACAGAGGUCUCAAGCGUUGUUCGGAUUCAUUGGGCGUAAAGGGUGCGUAGGCGGUUCGCUGUGUCCGAUGUGAAAGCCCCGGGCUUAACCUGGGAAUGGCAUUGGAAACUGGCGGGCUUGAGUGCGGCAGAGGGGGGUGGAAUUCCGCGUGUAGCAGUGAAAUGCGUAGAGAUGCGGAGGAACACCGAUGGCGAAGGCAGCCCCCUGGGUCGACACUGACGCUCAGGCACGAAAGCGUGGGGAGCAAACAGG